GAUGAACGCUGGCGGCGUGCCUAAUACAUGCAAGUCGAGCGAACGGACGAGAAGCUUGCUUUUCUGAUGUUAGCGGCGGACGGGUGAGUAACACGUGGAUAACCUACCUAUAAGACUGGGAUAACUUCGGGAAACCGGAGCUAAUACCGGAUAAUAUUUUGAACCGCAUGGUUCAAAAGUGAAAGACGGUCUUGCUGUCACUUAUAGAUGGAUCCGCGCUGCAUUAGCUAGUUGGUAAGGUAACGGCUUACCAAGGCAACGAUGCAUAGCCGACCUGAGAGGGUGAUCGGCCACACUGGAACUGAGACACGGUCCAGACUCCUGCGGGAGGCAGCAGUAGGGAAUCGUCCGCAAUGGGCGAAAGCCUGACGGAGCAACGCCGCGUGAGUGAUGAAGGUCUUCGGAUCGUAAAACUCUGUUAUGAGGGAAGAACAUAUGUGUAAGUAACUGUGCACAUCUUGACGGUACCGAAUCAGAAAGCCACGGCUAACUACGUG
This 497-nucleotide ribosomal RNA is filed under the name uncultured bacterium. RNAcentral's name for it is "partial 16S ribosomal RNA". It matches the Rfam family "Bacterial small subunit ribosomal RNA", at positions 28 to 507 of the family's 1533-position model. The record is from RNAcentral.